RNAcentral lists this microRNA precursor (142 nucleotides) under Gossypium hirsutum (cotton). RNAcentral describes it as "MIR7502 microRNA precursor family". It matches the Rfam family "MIR7502 microRNA precursor family". Lineage: Eukaryota; Viridiplantae; Streptophyta; Magnoliopsida; Malvales; Malvaceae. The record is from Rfam by way of RNAcentral.
UUUUUUAAAUUUCAUCCAUUUUUAUUGUUAAAAACUAGCUUGACUGACAGAAAACCAAAGUCACAUGUGACGUGUCAUGUGUACCUCAUUUUGAUGUAUAAGGACCAAUUUUGAACGGUAAAAAUGGAUGAGAUUUUUAGUA